This 74-nucleotide transfer RNA is filed under the name bacterium. RNAcentral describes it as "tRNA-Arg". It matches the Rfam family "tRNA". Rfam says of the family: Transfer RNA (tRNA) molecules are approximately 80 nucleotides in length. Their secondary structure includes four short double-helical elements and three loops (D, anti-codon, and T loops). Further hydrogen bonds mediate the characteristic L-shaped molecular structure. tRNAs have two regions of fundamental functional importance: the anti-codon, which is responsible for specific mRNA codon recognition, and the 3' end, to which the tRNAs corresponding amino acid is attached (by aminoacyl-tRNA synthetases). tRNAs cope with the degeneracy of the genetic code in two manners: having more than one tRNA (with a specific anti-codon) for a particular amino acid; and 'wobble' base-pairing, i.e. permitting non-standard base-pairing at the 3rd anti-codon position. The record is from RNAcentral.
GUGCCUGUAGCUUAAUUGGAUAGAGCAUCAGCUUGCGGAGCUGAAGGUUGUGAGUUCGAGUCUCACCAGGCACG